GCCAGUGUGGCAUAAUGGUUUGAGUGUUGGAUUACAAAUCUGCAAAUCAGAGUUCGAUUCCCUGCUAAGCCC
This is a non-coding RNA of Phrynosoma platyrhinos (Desert horned lizard), 72 nucleotides long. Lineage: Eukaryota; Metazoa; Chordata; Lepidosauria; Squamata; Phrynosomatidae. The record is from the annotation of a GenBank genome assembly.